RNAcentral lists this ribosomal RNA (469 nucleotides) under uncultured bacterium. RNAcentral's name for it is "partial 16S ribosomal RNA". It matches the Rfam family "Bacterial small subunit ribosomal RNA", at positions 28 to 507 of the family's 1533-position model. The record is from RNAcentral.
GAUGAACGCUGGCGGCGUGCUUAACACAUGCAAGUCGAACGGUGAACACGGAGCUUGCUCUGUGGGAUCAGUGGCGAACGGGUGAGUAACACGUGAGCAACCUGCCCCUGACUCUGGGAUAAGCGCUGGAAACGGCGUCUAAUACUGGAUAUGUGACGUGACCGCAUGGUCUGCGUUUGGAAAGAUUUUUCGGUUGGGGAUGGGCUCGCGGCCUAUCAGCUUGUUGGUGAGGUAAUGGCUCACCAAGGCGUCGACGGGUAGCCGGCCUGAGAGGGUGACCGGCCACAAUGGGACUGAGAAACGGCCCAGACUGCUACGGGAGGCAGCAGUGGGGAAUAUUGCACAAUGGGCGCAAGCCUGAUGCAGCAACGCCGCGUGAGGGAUGACGGCCUUCGGGUUGUAAACCUCUUUUAGCAGGGAAGAAGCGAAAGUGACGGUACCUGCAGAAAAAGCGCCGGCUAACUACGUG